CACGUAGGGUGCGAGCGUUGUCCGGAAUUAUUGGGCGUAAAGAGCUCGUAGGCGGUGUGUCGCGUCGGCCGUGAAAACCUGCAGCUUAACUGUGGGCGUGCGGUCGAUACGGGCAUCACUGGAGUUCGGCAGGGGAGAGUGGAAUUCCUGGUGUAGCGGUGAAAUGCGCAGAUAUCAGGAAGAACACCCGUGGCGAAGGCGGCUCUCUGGAACGCAACUGACGCUGAGACGCGAAAGCGUGGGGAGCAAACAGG
Molecule: ribosomal RNA, 254 nt
Filed under: uncultured bacterium
Lineage: Bacteria
Description: partial 16S ribosomal RNA
Rfam family: Bacterial small subunit ribosomal RNA
Source: RNAcentral